This 497-nucleotide ribosomal RNA is filed under the name uncultured bacterium. RNAcentral describes it as "partial 16S ribosomal RNA". It matches the Rfam family "Bacterial small subunit ribosomal RNA", at positions 28 to 507 of the family's 1533-position model. The record is from RNAcentral.
GACGAACGCUGGCGGCGUGCCUAGUACAUGCAAGUUGAGCGCUGAAGGUUGGUACUUGUACCAACUGGAUGAGCAGCGAACGGGUGAGUAACGCGUGGGGAAUCUGCCUUUGAGCGGGGGACAACAUUUGGAAACGAAUGCUAAUACCGCAUAAAAACUUUAAACACAAGUUUUAAGUUUGAAAGAUGCAAUUGCAUCACUCAAAGAUGAUCCCGCGUUGUAUUAGCUAGUUGGUGAGGUAAAGGCUCACCAAGGCGAUGAUACAUAGCCGACCUGAGAGGGUGAUCGGCCACAUUAGGACUGAGACGCGGCCCAAACUCCUACGGGAGGCAGCAGUAGGGAAUCUUCGGCAAUGGACGAAAGUCUGACCGAGCAACGCCGCGUGAGUGAAGAAGGUUUUCGGAUCGUAAAACUCUGUUGGUAGAGAAGAACGUUGGUGAGAGUGGAAAGCUCAUCAAGUGACGGUAACUACCCAGAAAGGGACGGCUAACUACGUG